RNAcentral lists this ribosomal RNA (259 nucleotides) under uncultured bacterium. RNAcentral describes it as "partial 16S ribosomal RNA". It matches the Rfam family "Bacterial small subunit ribosomal RNA", at positions 793 to 1055 of the family's 1533-position model. The record is from RNAcentral.
GUCCACGCCCUAACGAUGUCAACUGGUUGUUGGGUCUUCACUGACUCAGUAACGAAGCUAACGCGUGAAGUUGACCGCCUGGGGAGUACGGCCGCAAGGUUGAACUACAAGGAAUUGACGGGGACCCGCACAAGCGGUGGAUGAUGUGGUUUAAUUCGAUGCAACGCGAAACCUUACCCACCUUUGACAUGUACGGACCCUUUAGAGAUAGAGGGUGCUCGAAAGAGAGCCGUAAACACAGGUGCUGCAUGGCUGUCGU